AAAUGCGAUAAGUAAUGUGAAUUGCAGAAUUCAGUGAAUCAUCGAAUCUUUGAACGCACGUUGCGCUCCUUGGUAUUCCUUGGAGCAUGCCUGUUUGAGUAUCAUGAAAUCUUCAAAGUAAAUCUUUUGUUAACUCAAUUGGUUUCUACUUUGGUAUUGGAGGUCUUUGCAGCUUCACACCUGCUCCUCUUUGUUCAUUAGCUGGAUCUCAGUGUUAUGCUUGGUUCCACUCGGCGUGAUAAGUUAUCUAUCGCUGAGGACACUGUAAAAGGUGGCCAAGGUAAAUGCAGAUGAACCGCUUCUAAUAGUCCAUUGACUUGGACAAUACUUUUAUGAUCUGAUCUCAAAUCAGGUAGGACUACCCGCUGAACUUAAGC
This 377-nucleotide unclassified non-coding RNA is filed under the name plant metagenome. Its description in RNAcentral is "partial contains 5.8S ribosomal RNA, internal transcribed spacer 2, and large subunit ribosomal RNA". The stretch from base 1 to 104 matches the Rfam family "5.8S ribosomal RNA", at positions 51 to 154 of the family's 154-position model. The record is from RNAcentral.